RNAcentral lists this unclassified non-coding RNA (240 nucleotides) under soil metagenome. RNAcentral's name for it is "partial contains 5.8S ribosomal RNA, internal transcribed spacer 2, and large subunit ribosomal RNA". The record is from RNAcentral.
AACCAUUCUCACCUGCGGCUAGACCUGCGGAAGGAUCAUUACAUGGCGGAGAAGGUGGGCACCUGGCAAACUCCAGGUUGUGAUGCCUUCACGCUCUUCCACCCUUGUCUAUUUGCACCUUCUGUCGUUCCCUCGGCGGGUUUCGACCCGCCGGCGGCAACAUUGAAAACCCUUUUUGCAGUUAGCAUCCAAUUCUUCUGAUCAAAAUAUCAAAUCGUUACAACUUUUAACAAUGGAUCU